CUUAGAGUUUGAUCCUGGCUCAGAACGAACGCUGGCGGCAGGCUUAACACAUGCAAGUCGAGCGCUCUCUUCGGAGGGAGCGGCGGACGGGUGAGUAACGCGUGGGAAUAUGCCCUUGGGUGCGGAACAACCGCUGGAAACGGCGGCUAAUACCGCAUGACGACUAUGGUCCAAAGAUUUAUCGCCCAAGGAUUGGCCCGCGUUGGAUUAGGUAGUUGGUGAGGUCAAAGCUCACCAAGCCGACGAUCCAUAGCUGGUUUGAGAGGAUGAUCAGCCACACUGGGACUGAGACACGGCCCAGACUCCUACGGGAGGCAGCAGUGGGGAAUCUUGGACAAUGGGGGAAACCCUGAUCCAGCCAUGCCGCGUGAGCGAUGACGGCCUUAGGGUUGUAAAGCUCUUUCACCGGUGACGAUAAUGACGGUAGCCGGAGAAGAAGCCCCGGCUAACUCCGUGCCAGCAGCCGCGGUAAUACGGAGGGGGCUAGCGUUGUUCGGAAUUACUGGGCGUAAAGCGCGCGUAGGCGGACUGUUAAGUCGGGGGUGAAAUCCCGGGGCUCAACCCCGGAACUGCCUCCGAUACUGGCGGUCUAGAGUCCGUGAGGGGUUGGUGGAAUGGCGAGUGUAGAGGUGAAAUUCGUAGAUAUUCGCCGGAACACCAGUGGCGAAGGCGGCCAACUGGCACGGUACUGACGCUGAGGUGCGAAAGUGUGGGGAGCAAACAGGAUUAGAUACCCUGGUAGUCCACACCGUANACGAUGAGUGCUAGACGUCGGCCAGCAUGCUGGUCGGUGUCGCAGCUAACGCAUUAAGCACUCCGCC
This 821-nucleotide ribosomal RNA is filed under the name uncultured Pseudomonadota bacterium. RNAcentral's name for it is "bacterial SSU rRNA". It matches the Rfam family "Bacterial small subunit ribosomal RNA", at positions 9 to 873 of the family's 1533-position model. The record is from RNAcentral. Lineage: Bacteria; Pseudomonadati; Pseudomonadota.